This 119-nucleotide ribosomal RNA is filed under the name Triticum aestivum (bread wheat). Lineage: Eukaryota; Viridiplantae; Streptophyta; Magnoliopsida; Poales; Poaceae. RNAcentral also lists the same sequence under 1 other name. The record is from RNAcentral.
GGAUGCGAUCAUACCAGCACUAAAGCAUCGGAUCCCAUCAGAACUCUGAAGUUAAGCGUGCUUGGGCGAGAGUAGUACUAGGAUGGGUGACCUCCUGGGAAGUCCUCGUGUUGCAUUCC